GUCGAAGGUGGGGCUGAUGACUGGGGUGAAGUCGUAACAAGGUAUCCGUACCGGAAGGUGCGGAUGGAUCACCUCCUAACAGGGAGACAAAACAAUGAUUUUGAUGUCUGAGUAUUUCAUUCUUAGGCCGAAAUCCUGUCACCUUAGGUCGAUCGGUACCUCAACAUUUUUCCAAAGAUUGGUGAGCAAUCAUCAAGAGAUUGGAAGGGAUGUUCAGUUCCUAAACUUUGUCUAGGUCACACCCCGCAAGGGAAGAGUCCCCUGGGCCAUUAGCUCAGGUGGUUAGAGCGCACCCCUGAUAAGGGUGAGGUCCCUGGUUCAAGUCCAGGAUGGCCCAUUCGGUGUUGGGGGUUUAGCUCAGUUGGUAGAGCGCCUGCUUUGCAAGCAGGAUGUCAGGAGUUCGAGUCUCCUAACCUCCACUGACAGAACUCAAUCUCCAUUGUCCGGUAACUCGGAGGAUGAACUCGAUGGCGUGUGAUUUAGAUGUGUCCACUAGAUAGGACCCUAGCUUCCUGUCAUUCCGAACAAGUAAUUAUUGCUUGAUUGGUUGAUAUGAUGCUGGGCUCAGAUUAAUCGAAAGAUUAAUUUGAUCUCUAGUAGAACCUUGACAACUGCAUAAGUAAGUCUGGAAAAACGAAGCAUCUUACAGAUGCAUUGUUUUAAGUCUGAAUUCUCGAAAGAGGGUUUAGAUCUAGAAUGAUGAAAAUUCUUUUAAGCAAGAGCCGAGACUCUUAGAUGUUCUUUUUAUCGUGUCGAGCGAUAAAGAGUUUGAUUUUGUUUUUAUGAGCAGCGAAAGUUGCUGAUAAAACCAGAAGAAUCUGCUUUCAACCGCAGUAAGCGUUUAAGAGGUUAAUUGGUCAAGCUACAAAGGGCUCACG
Molecule: unclassified non-coding RNA, 878 nt
Filed under: uncultured Synechococcus sp.
Lineage: Bacteria; Bacillati; Cyanobacteriota; Cyanophyceae; Synechococcales; Synechococcaceae
Description: partial may contain 16S ribosomal RNA, 16S-23S ribosomal RNA intergenic spacer, and 23S ribosomal RNA
Rfam family: tRNA (bases 347-419)
Source: RNAcentral